Molecule: ribosomal RNA, 110 nt
Filed under: Ancylobacter defluvii
Lineage: Bacteria; Pseudomonadati; Pseudomonadota; Alphaproteobacteria; Hyphomicrobiales; Xanthobacteraceae
Source: RNAcentral
UGGUGGCCAUUGCGAGGAGCCUGAACCCGAUCCCAUCCCGAACUCGGCCGUUAAACUCCUCAGCGCCGAUGGUACUAUGUCUCAAGACCUGGGAGAGUAGGUCGCCGCCA